RNAcentral lists this ribosomal RNA (499 nucleotides) under uncultured bacterium. RNAcentral describes it as "partial 16S ribosomal RNA". It matches the Rfam family "Bacterial small subunit ribosomal RNA", at positions 899 to 1397 of the family's 1533-position model. The record is from RNAcentral.
ACUCAAAGGAAUAGACGGGGGCCCGCACAAGCGGUGGAGCAUGUGGUUUAAUUCGACGCAACGCGAAGAACCUUACCUGGGCUCGAACGGCCUUCUAACGGCGGUAGAAAUACUGCUAUCCCGCAAGGGAGUAAGGUCGAGGUGCUGCAUGGCUGUCGUCAGCUCGUGUCGUGAGAUGUUGGGUUAAGUCCCGCAACGAGCGCAACCCUUGUCCUGUGUUGCUACUCCGCAAGGAAGCACUCUCAGGAGACCGCCAGCGAUAAGUUGGAGGAAGGUGGGGAUGACGUCAAGUCAUCAUGGCCUUUAUGUCCAGGGCUACACACGUGCUACAAUGGGCGGUACAAACCGACGCCAACCCGCGAGGGGGAGCAAAUCGGAAAAAACCGUUCUCAGUUCGGAUUGCAGGCUGCAACUCGCCUGCAUGAAGCUGGAAUCGCUAGUAAUGGUAUAUCAGAACGAUACCGUGAAUACGUUCCCGGGCCUUGUACACACCGCCCGU